Molecule: long non-coding RNA, 1969 nt
Organism: Gallus gallus (chicken)
Lineage: Eukaryota; Metazoa; Chordata; Aves; Galliformes; Phasianidae
Source: Ensembl
GCCACUUCCAGCCUGGCCUUGGAUGCCCCAUCCCUGGAUGCAUUCACAACCUACUUGGGCAACCUGUUCCAGUGCGUCACCACCCUCUGGGUGAAAAACUUCCUCCUAAUAUCUAACCUAAACCACCCCUGUCUCAGUUUAAGACUAUUCCUCCUUAUCCUACCACUUUCCACCCUCACAAACAGCCGUUCCCCUUCCUGUUUAUACGCUUCCUUCAAGUACUGGAAGGCCACAAUGAGGUCCCCCUGGAGCCUUCUCUUCUCCAAGCUAAACAAGCCCAGUUCCCUCAACCUUUCCUCACAGGAGAGGUGCUCCUGCCCUCUGAUCAUCUUAGUGGCCCUCCUCUGGAUGCGCUCCAAGAGCUCCAUGUCCUUCCUGUACUGGGAGCACCAGGUCUGGACGCAGUACUUCAGAUGGGGCCUCUCAAGAGCUGAGUAGAGGGGCACAAUCACCUCUCCCUGCUGGCCACUGCCUUUUUUUUUUUUUUUUUUUUUUUUUUUUUUUUAAAUGCAGCCCAGCACACAGUUGGCCUUCCAGGCUGCAGGUGUACACUGCUGGUUCAUGUCCAGCUUCUCAUCCACCAGGACCCCCAGGUCCUUCUCCGCAGGGCUGCUCUCAAGGAGAUCUUCCCCCCUGUUUAUAGAAGUACCUGGGAUUGCCCCGACCCAAGUGCAGCACCCUGCACUUGGCCUUAUUGAACCUCAUUAGGUUUUCGUGGGACCACUUCUCCAGCCUGUCCAGGUCCCUCGGGAUGGCUUCCCUUCCUUCCAAUGUAUCGACUGCACCGCUCAGCUUGGUGGACAGAAACCACUCCCCACACCCUUACCUAGAGGCUCAUGGUCCUGGCAGACAUGGGAAGCCUGACCACCCGUGAAGACUGAGGCAAAGCACUCAUUAAGUACCUCAGCUUUUUCUAUGUCUGAGGAAGCCAGCUCCCCAUUACCUUUCAUCGGGGGGAGAACACUCUCCUUGGCCUGUCUUCUCCUGCCUAUGUACCUGUAGAACCCCUUCUUGUUGUCUGUCGCAUCCCGCACCAAGUUCAGCUCCAUCUGCGCCUUGGCUUUCCUAAUCCUAUCUCUACACACACGGACAACAGCCCUGUAUUCCUCCCUGAAUACACAACCCUGCUUCCACUUUCUGUACAUUUCCCUCUUUUCUCUCAAUUUAAGCUGCAGGUCCUUGCACAGCCACGACAGUCGCCUGCCUCCCCUGCUCAACGACUUCUGCUGGGGUAUGGAGAGCCCUUGAGCUCUCGGAAGGGUGUCCUUAAAGAGCUGCCAGCUCUGGUCUGUGCCCAUGCCCUUAAGGACAGUUUCCCAGGGGAUCCCACUCAGCAGUUCCUUGAGCAGACGGAAGUUCGCUUUCCUAAAGCACAGCGUUGUGACUGUGCUUUUUGCCAGGCCCACAUUCUUCAAGCUCACAAACUCCACCAAGGCAUGGUCACUGCAGCCCAGGUUGCCUGCAAUCUAAACCUCUCCAUCUAUUACCUGGACCAGAAAGUUGUCCUCAACAGACUCCAGGAAUCUCUUGGAUUGUCUGCCACCCACCGUGGCACUAUCCCAGCAGAUAUCCGGGUGGUUGAAAUCCUCCAUCAGGAGGAGAGCCCGCAAGCAUGACACCUCCUGCCGCUGAAGCAAGAAGGCCUCGUCCACAGCCUCUUCCUGAUCAGGUGGCCUGUAACAGACCGCAGCCGCUAGAUGCCCUUUGCUGGACUGAUCCGCAGUUUUUACCCACAAGCUCUCAACCUGAUCAUGGCUGUUCCUCAGACGCAGCUCUUCACAAUCUGUCCACUUCCUAACAUAAGAGGGCAACUCCACCACUCUCCUAACCUGUCUAUCCCUUCUGAAAAGCCUGUAGUCCUCAAUCAGGGUAUUCCAAUCAUGCGAUUCAUCCCACCCUGUUUCCAUGAUAGCAAUUAGGUCAUACUUUCCCAAUUGCACCACAGUUUCUAGCUCCUCCUGUUUAUUUC